Molecule: ribosomal RNA, 116 nt
Filed under: uncultured bacterium
Lineage: Bacteria
Description: partial 16S ribosomal RNA
Rfam family: Bacterial small subunit ribosomal RNA
Source: RNAcentral
ACACACCGCCCGUCACACCAUGAGAGUUGGAAAUACCCGAAGCCUGUGAGCUAACCUUUAGGAGGCAGCAGUCGAAGGUAGAGCCAAUGAUUGGGGUGAAGUCGUAACAAGGUACC